AUUGAACGCUGGCGGCAGGCCUAACACAUGCAAGUCGAACGAGUGGCGGACGGGUGAGUAAUGUCUGGGAAACUGCCCGAUGGAGGGGGAUAACUACUGGAAAAGGUAGCUAAUACCGCAUACCAUCGGAUGUGCCCAGAUGGGAUUAGCUAGUUGGGGGGGUAAAGGCUCCCCUAGGCGACGAUCCCUAGCUGGUCUGAGAGGAUGACCAGCAACACUGGAACUGAGACACGGGCCAGACUCCUACGGGAGGCAGCAGUGGGGAAUAUUGGACAAUGGGCGAAAGCCUGAUGCAGCCAUGCCGCGUGUAUGAAGAAGGCCUUCGGGUUGUAAAGUACUUUCAGCGGGGAAGCGUUACCCGCAGAAGAAGCACCGGCUAACUCCGUGCCAGCAGCCGCGGUAAUUC
Molecule: ribosomal RNA, 406 nt
Filed under: uncultured bacterium
Lineage: Bacteria
Description: partial 16S ribosomal RNA
Rfam family: Bacterial small subunit ribosomal RNA
Source: RNAcentral